RNAcentral lists this transfer RNA (75 nucleotides) under Terriglobia bacterium. Its description in RNAcentral is "tRNA-Tyr". Lineage: Bacteria; Pseudomonadati; Acidobacteriota; Terriglobia. The record is from RNAcentral.
GGUGCUCCAGGGAGAACAGACGAGGACAGGUCUGUAAAACCUUUAUUCGGGGGUUCGAUUCCCCCCGCCUCUCCA